UGAACGGCCAAUUGUUGCACGUAGGCAUUCUGGCUAUAAUGAGGACUCUGAAGAAGAUGAAUAUGAACCCCAAGAAUUCCCUAAACACCAACGGCAAGGGAAAUAUAGGAGGAGAGGUGCUCGUGGUUAUGAUGAGUGGGAGAACAAGAAUUUUCAACUCAAAGUUGAUAUUCCCAACUUCAAUGGGAGUCUCAACAUCGAGAAAUUUCUGGAUUGGAUAGCUGAUGUGAAAAGAUUCUUCGAUUACAUGGAGACAGCUCUAGAAAGGAGGGUGAAAGUAGUAGCUUGUCGGUUGAAAGGUGGUGCUUUUGCUUGGUGGGAGAGAUUGCAACUAGAACAGCUUGGUGCCAACCACCUAGGAUGAAACUAGAACAGCUUGGGAGUCUGCUCCUGAAAUUUGGUCAUUGAAAUCCUCGUCGUUAGCCUCCAUGCGCCAUCGAAAUAUCACUAGACUUUGUACAUGUGUUGGCGUGUGACAGAUAUUCUCGCCACCUUUCUUGCCAGAGUCAACACCGAUCAACUUGUCCUUGACCGACGAGUCUUCUUAGCAACAAAACAGCUCCGGUCUCCUUGGUCUCUCAACUCCAAAGACAAAAGCUUCUACUUCCACAUUGUUUCAGAGUUGUUUCAUUCAAACAAUUCUUUUCAAGUGUAAUUUUCAAUAGCACUCUCAGCAUGACUAAAAAGACUAGUUCC
Molecule: unclassified non-coding RNA, 696 nt
Filed under: Hevea brasiliensis (rubber tree)
Lineage: Eukaryota; Viridiplantae; Streptophyta; Magnoliopsida; Malpighiales; Euphorbiaceae
Source: RNAcentral